UAAUCUACACAUUUUCUUUAUCUUUUUCAUUGAUAUUACUUUGCAAAUGAAUUAAUCCGAUAACGAACAUUUUUAAUAGAGCUCAAAUUAACCAGCCCAAUAAGAGAUGUACCUAGGAGUGUUGAUCCUAAUGAUCUACGUAGGGUUGCGACAGGGUUGCGUGUUUAUAAUAAAAAUUGAUGAUCGAUAGGCGGAUCGAUAGGCGGAUCGAGACGCAUCGAACGAAAACAGUAAAUGAAUCGAUGUGUAGAAUAUUUAAGUUAGUAAUUAUUGAAGUGAUUGCCGUCAGGAGGCGCGGAAGAGGUCGAAAUAAGAUUUUCGAGACGCACUGCCGUCAGGCGGCGUUGAAUCUUGAGGAGCAAGCAAAUAAGCAAAGGAAAGCAUACUGGCAGUCCGCAGUCGUAGAAUGCCCCCGUAUCGUGUAACCGUGUUUCCCUUUACUGCUACGUAAUCGCCACAGGGAUUUUUAUAUCGUGUCACCAAUAACAUCGUACGCGCGGACUCUGAACUUGUCUGGCUGGUACCGGGAAAAAACGCGUUAAAAGUGCUCGAGUCACCUUCAUCGUCGAACCUUUUCUUCUAUAAUAAAGUCAAGAUAUCAAAGUGAAACAAAAGAUUUGCUUAUCGGCCUGCGUGACUUUAAUGCCUCUUCGUCUGAUUUAAACUUAUUCAGGUCGUCGUUAAACAGAAAUUACAACGGUCAAGGAUAAUAAAAAAAAAUGUCGAUAAAUUUUUACAAGGUACCGCAAUAUUUUGUCGACUUGUUAUUGUCGCGUGAACGAAGAAAAUUCCUUUACAGGAACGUUAUUAUUCGACUUUGAGUUUAUAUUAUUUUUCUUUUUCUUCAUCAUGCUAACAAACGCACGUUAGACGAUACUUGUGAUACCGUAAAAUGUCGAAUUCUUAUUCCGAAACACGGCAAUAUAUAUGUAUAUAGUUGGAACGAGUGAAUGUAAGGGGGGAGGGAGAGAG
Molecule: long non-coding RNA, 972 nt
Organism: Polistes dominula (European paper wasp)
Lineage: Eukaryota; Metazoa; Arthropoda; Insecta; Hymenoptera; Vespidae
Source: RefSeq, a predicted model, not a curated record